UGCACCUGGUGGCGAGUGGCGAACGGGUGAGUAAUACAUCGGAACAUGUCCUGUAGUGGGGGAUAGCCCGGCGAAAGCCGGAUUAAUACCGCAUACGAUCUACGGAUGAAAGCGGGGGACCUUCGGGCCUCGCGCUAUAGGGUUGGCCGAUGGCUGAUCAGCUAGUUGGUGGGGUAAAGGCCUACCAAGGCGACGAUCAGUAGCUGGUCUGAGAGGACGACCAGCCACACUGGGACUGAGACACGGCCCAGACUCCUACGGGAGGCAGCAGUGGGGAAUUUUGGACAAUGGGCGAAAGCCUGAUCCAGCAAUGCCGCGUGUGUGAAGAAGGCCUUCGGGUUGUAAAGCACUUUUGUCCGGAAAGAAAUCCUUGGUUCUAAUAUAGCCGGGGGAUGACGGUACCGGAAGAAUAAGCACCGGCUAACUACGUGCCAGCAGCCGCGGUAAUACGUAGGGUGCGAGCGUUAAUCGGAAUUACUGGGCGUAAAGCGUGCGCAGGCGGUUUGCUAAGACCGAUGUGAAAUCCCCGGGCUCAACCUGGGAACUGCAUUGGUGACUGGCAGGCUAGAGUAUGGCAGAGGGGGGUAGAAUUCCACGUGUAGCAGUGAAAUGCGUAGAGAUGUGGAGGAAUACCGAUGGCGAAGGCAGCCCCCUGGGCCAAUACUGACGCUCAUGCACGA
RNAcentral lists this ribosomal RNA (680 nucleotides) under uncultured beta proteobacterium. Its description in RNAcentral is "bacterial SSU rRNA". It matches the Rfam family "Bacterial small subunit ribosomal RNA", at positions 80 to 756 of the family's 1533-position model. Lineage: Bacteria; Pseudomonadati; Pseudomonadota; Betaproteobacteria. The record is from RNAcentral.